GAAGAAAGAUGUAUACGUUCUUUAAACCACAGAGUGGAAGUGAGGACUACGUGUUUUCUUGCUUUUCAGCACGAAGUUCUGUAAUUUCAGAUACCGGGUGGCCUGAAGGUAUAUUACACUUAUUCUGCAAGUUGGAAAUUGAAACACAAAAAAAGAAAGUUCUGGAGUUUCCACACAUUUUUGAUAAGAACAGCCUUCAAGUAUCCCAGUCUACUGAGAUCAGUGGGAAAGUCUGGAGCAAGAACUUAUCGAUGGUGGAGAAUGAUUACAGGAGAAAGACUUUCAAUAAACCGGGCAUGUAUAAUUCCACGGUACCUGACAGUUUGCCCCCAUGAAUGCUGCAGGAGCUGAUGUCACUGCGAGGUCACUCUCAGUAAUCUUUGAAAAGUCACGGGGGAAGAUUCUUAUUGACUGGAAGAAUGCAAAUGCCACUUCUAUUUCAGAGAAGGGCAAGAAGGAAGAUUUCAGAAACUACAGGAGAAAAAGGCAGUUGGAAGAAGCAGACAUUGAACAACAUGAAGGACCGGAGCAGUUCUACAUCUCUACGUCAUCUGUUUGUAGAGAAAUAUCAUCUCACCACAUAUCUAACCAAUAGAUAACAACUUUCCAGCUCAAAGCCCUUUACAACUGUGAUUUCUGUGGUCUACUGUCCUAUCUGCUUUGGAGGUGGUGUUCAGUGGUUGCAGCACACACCAAUGUCCUCGGAGUUUCCUUGGAGCACAGCCCUGGACUCUCUGUGUGGCAGAGCUGUGCUGUAGGCAGC
Molecule: long non-coding RNA, 763 nt
Organism: Gallus gallus (chicken)
Lineage: Eukaryota; Metazoa; Chordata; Aves; Galliformes; Phasianidae
Source: Ensembl